CUGUGCUAGGUGGGGAGCUAGCGGUGCCCUAUACUCGCAAUCCGCUACAGCGAGACUGAAUUCCCUAUGAAGGUCAAUUUGAUUCACCAAUGUUUUUUUGGUUCGAUGUUGAAAGUUGGGUCCUACGCGACGAAAGCUUACCUAACCCCGUCAGGUCCGGAAGGAAGCAGCGGUAAGUAAGUCAUUUCGGGUGCCGUGGGAUCGCCUGACUUGAGUCGAUCUAUUAAUUUAAGUGCAAUCGAAGAGGUCGACUGUGGGUGCGCAG
Molecule: signal recognition particle RNA, 265 nt
Filed under: Dehalococcoidia bacterium
Lineage: Bacteria; Bacillati; Chloroflexota; Dehalococcoidia
Also listed under: 1 other name
Description: signal recognition particle sRNA large type
Rfam family: Bacterial large signal recognition particle RNA
About the family: The signal recognition particle (SRP) is a universally conserved ribonucleoprotein involved in the co-translational targeting of proteins to membranes. Archaeal SRP consists of a 7S RNA and homologues of the eukaryotic SRP19 and SRP54 proteins. In most bacteria, the SRP consists of a 4.5S RNA and the Ffh protein (a homologue of the eukaryotic SRP54 protein).
Source: RNAcentral